AAAAUUUGUACUAGGAGCACAAGAUCAUCAGGAGGCAGAUAAGGAAGGAGAAUUGGUUCACCAACACCCUGAUGUGAAAAGUGACAAACCCAAACCUGGCACACCAAUGAAAUUUCAGAAUAGGUUAUGGGUUGUCAAGACUAUAAAAGCAAACAGAGCGCGCUCUUGAGAUUGAGAAUCCUUAGAAUUGGUGACAAGGAAAUUUUCGAGAUUUUAUUGGUGUCUUGAAGGAAGGAAGAACACCAACAUAGAAUUUCAACACCUACUGAUGGGUGUUUGGGCUUUACCGGGUCAAGCUAAUGACGUUAAAGAAGCGCUUGCUGGGAGGCAACCCAGUUUCUAACCCCGUCUCUGAAUUUUUUUUCUUUUAUUUUAUUUUAUUUUAUUUUAUUUUUUUAGGUUAAAUGUUGCUUCUGAUGCCAGUGAUGAUAGCAUCUACUGAUGGAUGCUUCUGUAACAUCUAUUGAUGGAUGUUAGGUGAUUCGGCAUCUACUGAUGGAAGCCGAUGAAGAUAAGGAAGAUUGGUGUCUACUGAUGGAUGCCAAUGAAGAUAAGAAAUAUUAGCAUCUACCGAUGGAUGCUAUAUGGUUAGACAUCUACUGAUGGAUGUCAAUGAUAACAUUUACUGAUGAAUGCUACUGGGAUAGCAUCUACUGAGGGAUGCUAGAAGAUAUAGGUAUCUACUGAAGGAUACCAGGAAAGUACACCUACUGAUGGGUGAUGGUAAGGUUUGCACCUACUGAUUGGUGCUAGAAAGGUUUGGGUCAGGCUCGUGACGUUAAACAAGCACUACCUGGGAGGCAACCCAGCUGAUUGAUUUUUUUUUGCAUGCUUUAAUUCUUGUUCUAGUCGCAUAUGUCAGUUAAGUGAUUGGGAAUUGCAUAAAAAUUAAAUUUUGAAAGUUGAAUUUGAAGGUUUAAAGGGUUAAAAUGUUUUAAAUAGAAAAAAAGGGGGUGUAAACUACACAACGCUGG
This 974-nucleotide long non-coding RNA is filed under the name Vigna radiata. RNAcentral's name for it is "long non-coding RNA (VRAD_LNC012086)". The record is from RNAcentral. Lineage: Eukaryota; Viridiplantae; Streptophyta; Magnoliopsida; Fabales; Fabaceae.